This 307-nucleotide ribosomal RNA is filed under the name uncultured bacterium. RNAcentral's name for it is "bacterial SSU rRNA". It matches the Rfam family "Bacterial small subunit ribosomal RNA", at positions 29 to 361 of the family's 1533-position model. The record is from RNAcentral.
AACGAACGCUGGCGGCAGGCCUAACACAUGCAAGUCGAACGCCCGUAGCAAUACGGGAGUGGCAGACGGGUGAGUAACGCGUGGGAACGUGCCCUUCGGUUCGGAAUAACUCAGGGAAACUUGAGCUAAUACCGGAUACGUCCGUAAGGAGAAAGAUUUAUCGCCGAAGGAUCGGCCCGCGUCGGAUUAGCUAGUUGGUGAGGUAACGGCCCACCAAGGCGACGAUCCGUAGCUGGUCUGAGAGGAUGAUCAGCCACACUGGGACUGAGACACGGCCCAGACUCCUACGGGAGGCAGCAGUGGGGAA